ACAAAGUAAAAGCAAAGUUGAGCUCAAGGUCGGCCCUGGCUUGGACGUUCGCGUUUAUAUUUGUAUUCACGAGAUAGGAAUCCGCGAGGCAAAAGCGCCCAGAAGUUUUUGCUUUUUAAUCCUAUGUAAAAGGAAAAAAAAAGUUCUUUGUUGCCUCUCGUCUCGCGAAGCUGAUUUAUCGUUUCGUUAUGAGUCGUUGCUUACCGCUGUCGUCGCCGGGGACGUGCACUUUUAUAGUUUAAAUAUCAAGAGGGAAUUAAACACAAUGACAUAAUAUAUAAUACGAAUAUUACGAUACGAGAGAACGUGAUAUUAAUGAAUGGCCAAUACAACGGUGCACUCUCGCAAACGCGACUCGCUGAAGGACAGGUGUGACUCCGGGAACAAUGACAAACAUAAAUACAAUGAGCGAUACAGUCUUUCGCGCGAACGCAAGCGGAUCGUCGCGCAUGAUUUUCCGACCCGCGUAAGCCGCGUUACGCAACAUGCGAUUGUCAUAUUGGAUCGCCCUGGGCAGCACCCUGGAAUCUCGACGGUGACUAUCGCUUUUCACUUUUCUUCAUUUAACGAAGUUGCGAGACGAAACGAAUUGUUCUCGUGAAGCGACUCUCAGCCACUCAAGUACUCCCGCAACAUGAAUUUCGAAUUUUUUCAUACACGACGGAUUAUAUAAAGUCGAUCGAAAUUUUCAUUAAAUCCGACACGUAUUCUUAUCGUUUUCCUCGAGAAUUAGAACUCUUGGAAACGAGGAGCUUAUUUGUUGGCGAACUGUAACCGUUCGCGAAACAAAAGGUCUGUACUUUUUCGUUGAAUUGCCUGCACUAACUCGCACUAGUUCUCUUCUUCUCUUUUUUCCACCAAGUCUUAACUAUAUAUUUGUUUCUUUUUAAGUUUUACAAGUAUACACUAGUUUACAGAAGAAGAAAGAAAAACAGACCUAAUAUCUUUUCUUUCUUUCUCUCUUGCCGAAAGUAUCGUAUCAGUUCGCCUUUUUUACACGUAAUUUGCGACUCUCAGGCACUAAAGUAUUCCCGAAAGCUAUAAACGCUCAAUAUAAACACUCUGAUAUCUCCCGAAGUGCCGGAAUCCGUCGCUUAUUUUUUCGUUAAAUCAUCGCGCGUCGUUUAAAUGAUCGCGGUCGCGAGUGCAGUGCGGCGCGGGACGGUGCAGUGCAGUGGAAUGAAGUGAAGUGAGUAAAGAGUGAUCGACGUGGAACAAUGGCCGCUACGGAGCUCGGAUGCUGAGGAGGCUGGACGGACGCGGACAGGAUGCAGCUGUAGAUUUCAUCGAUGGACCUGGACAGCCAGACGUCACCGGAUAUCAACGUGAAAUGAUCCAAUGAAGUUCAUAGCCACACGCUGGGUGCGGUUCCCAAGGGAAGCAGUUUCCGUUUACGCGGAUGCCGUACCGGAGGAUCCGGCUCGGGCCAAACAGGAUCGUCUCGAAGAACUGUAGCAGAACGUGGCCGAUACCGAGCUCCCGUUGAUUGGUGAGUCAGACGCAAAGAUUUAUGGUGACGGAUUUAUUGAUGACGGUUGGUUUACAUAAAAAAUCAAUGCGAUUUGCAUAGCUCGUAGAUUUUUACACGCACACUGAGAGAAGGAAAUGAUCGGUGUCAUUAUAAAUUAGUC
This is a long non-coding RNA of Dinoponera quadriceps, 1631 nucleotides long. RefSeq lists it as uncharacterized. NCBI's taxonomy places the organism in Eukaryota, Metazoa, Arthropoda, Insecta, Hymenoptera, Formicidae. The transcript is spliced from 3 exons. The record is from RefSeq and is a predicted model, not a curated record.